Molecule: ribosomal RNA, 55 nt
Filed under: Polylepis multijuga
Lineage: Eukaryota; Viridiplantae; Streptophyta; Magnoliopsida; Rosales; Rosaceae
Description: partial 18S ribosomal RNA
Rfam family: Eukaryotic small subunit ribosomal RNA
Source: RNAcentral
AGGAAGGAGAAGUCGUAACAAGGUCUCCAUAGGUGAACCUGCGGAAGGAUCUUUG